AAGAAUGACUUCUCACCCAGUGUGUUGUUAAUAUGGCCUCACCAAGGCUAGGAGGAGCUUUAGGAUAAGCAGCUUCUCUGAGACCUGAUAUCAGUUGCUUGGGCUUCCUGUAAGAUUUCCAGGUCUUAGGACCCAGCUUCUUUGAGAACUUCCUCCUAAGAGAACUGAGGAGAUGAAUCAGUGGAUCAAAUGCUUGCUGCACAAGCAUGAGGAACAGUUUACAGAUCCUCAGCACCCAGAUUAGAUGUAACCUCUCAGCUACUGUUCUGAUGCCAAGCUUGUCUGCCUGUUGCCAUGCUCCCCAUCAUGAUGAUCAUGGACUCACCCUCUGAAACCAUAAGCAAGCCUCCAUCAAGUUAAAUGCUUUGAAUAUGGUGUCUCCUUACAGAUAUAGAAGACCACCUUCACAAGAUCAAGCCAGCCAAAAUCCCAAUAUGGGUGGAAGAGAGUCUCAUGAAGCCUCACAUCUAGCUGAGAAGCUACUGACAAAUGGAUGUCCACUGAGGAAGAGUCACCUAUCUUCAGAAAUAGGAGCCCUGAAGUUACCCAUACUCCAGUAGAUGGUCCCACCCUCAUCCAUUCAGACAGUACUACAUGAAUUCAGCUCCCAAAAGCAGGCAGCAGACUGCAACCAUGAAGGCUCUUGGUGCCCUCUGGAGGAAUUUUCAGGCAUUGCAGAAGCCUAGCCAGAAUGGAGAAUAUUUUGUUCAGCUCACUUAACAGACCCAGUGAAAGCAGAAUCGUAGCCACAGGUAGGGAAGAUGGGGUUUAUGGGGUCAAGGGAGCUUCUUGAAGAUUGGAAAAAAGUCCUCUGAGGACUGGAGCAAGGGCUUAGAAGAAGGAUGCAGGGAGAGUGUACAGGCAGACUGUCAUGGCAGAUGGACAGAGCAAGUGCAACACACUAGAUCUGAGGGAACUGGGAACC
This is a long non-coding RNA of Mastomys coucha (southern multimammate mouse), 925 nucleotides long. RefSeq lists it as uncharacterized. Lineage: Eukaryota; Metazoa; Chordata; Mammalia; Rodentia; Muridae. The transcript is spliced from 5 exons. The record is from RefSeq and is a predicted model, not a curated record.